UGGCGGACGGGUGAGUAACGCGUGGGUAACCUGCCUCAUAGAGGGGGACAACAGUUGGAAACGACUGCUAAUACCGCAUAAGCCCACGGGUCGGCAUCGACCAGAGGGAAAAGGAGCAAUCCGCUUUGAGAUGGUCUCGCGUCCGAUUAGCUAGUUGGUGAGGUAAUGGCCCACCAAGGCGACGAUCGGUAGCCGGACUGAGAGGUUGAACGGCCACAUUGGGACUGAGACACGGCCCAGACUCCUACGGGAGGCAGCAUG
RNAcentral lists this ribosomal RNA (261 nucleotides) under uncultured bacterium. RNAcentral describes it as "partial 16S ribosomal RNA". It matches the Rfam family "Bacterial small subunit ribosomal RNA", at positions 96 to 353 of the family's 1533-position model. The record is from RNAcentral.